RNAcentral lists this long non-coding RNA (389 nucleotides) under Hordeum vulgare. RNAcentral's name for it is "long non-coding RNA (HVUL_LNC012008)". Lineage: Eukaryota; Viridiplantae; Streptophyta; Magnoliopsida; Poales; Poaceae. The record is from RNAcentral.
CCCCAAGCUUGAGCUCUUUCCACUCUUUAUCUCUUUUUCCAUAAGAACUUCACCCAAAUCUUGUAAACUUCACAACACGAAACUUAAACAGAAACUCGUGAUAACAUUAGUACAAGAAAGCAAACCACCACUUCCUUAGGUACUGUAGCAAACUUAAAUUCUACUUGUGCUGAUGUUGGGUUACUGUAAUUUCAAUCUUACAUGACUAAUACCCCCCGAUGCUAUCCAUAGUUUCAUCAAAAUAAGCAACCAACACAAAAACAACAGAAUCUGUUAAUAGCAGACCAGUCUGUAGCAAUCUGUAUAUUUCAUAUACUUAUGGUACUUCAAACAUUCUGAACAAUUACGACAGUCUGUCUAAUUUGCGUAGCAAUUAGAAGCAAAAAGAA